UACGUAGGAUGCAAGCGUUGUCCGGAAUUACUGGGCGUAAAGGGCGAGUAGGCGGCCACUCAAGUCAGAUGUGAAAUAGCCCGGCUUAACUGAGGAAGUGCAUCCAAAACUGAAUAGCUAGAGUACGAAAGAGGGUCGCGGAAUUCCCGGUGUAGAGGUGAAAUUCGUAGAUAUCGGGAGGAACACCGGUGGCGAAGGCGGCGACCUGGGUCGAGACUGACGCUGAGGCGCGAAAGCGUGGGGAGCGAACAGG
RNAcentral lists this ribosomal RNA (253 nucleotides) under uncultured bacterium. Its description in RNAcentral is "partial 16S ribosomal RNA". It matches the Rfam family "Bacterial small subunit ribosomal RNA", at positions 524 to 776 of the family's 1533-position model. The record is from RNAcentral.